This 328-nucleotide ribosomal RNA is filed under the name uncultured eukaryote. RNAcentral describes it as "partial 18S ribosomal RNA". It matches the Rfam family "Eukaryotic small subunit ribosomal RNA", at positions 1470 to 1796 of the family's 1831-position model. The record is from RNAcentral.
CCCUUAGAUGUUCUGGGCCGCACGCGCGCUACACUGUUCGACGCAGCGAGUCUUAACCUUGACCGAAAGGUUUGGGUAAUCUUCAGCAAAGUCGAACGUGAUGGGGAUCGAUCAUUGCAAUUAUUGAUCGUGAACGAGGAAUUCCUAGUAAGUGCAAGUCAUCAGCUUGCGCUGAUUACGUCCCUGCCCUUUGUACACACCGCCCGUCGCUACUACUGAUUGGAUGUUUAAGCGAGGUUCUCGAACUGCUAGCGACUUAGCUUCGGUGAGGUCGCAGUGUGGGAAGUGAACCUAGCUUUGGUGUCUAGAGGAAGUAAAAGUCGUAACA